This 800-nucleotide ribosomal RNA is filed under the name uncultured bacterium. RNAcentral describes it as "bacterial SSU rRNA". It matches the Rfam family "Bacterial small subunit ribosomal RNA", at positions 8 to 821 of the family's 1533-position model. The record is from RNAcentral.
AGAGUUUGAUCCUGGCUCAGGACGAACGCUGGCGGCGUGCUUAACACAUGCAAGUCACGGGGGCCCGCAAGGGCAACCGGCGAACGGGUGCGUAACACGUGAGCAACCUGCCUAGGUGAGGGGGAUAGCCGGCCCAACGGCCGGGUAAUACCGCAUACGCUUCAUGAGGGGAUUCCCUUGUGAAGGAAACCUCCGGGGCACUUAGAGGGGCUCGCGGCUUAUCAGCUAGUUGGCGAGGUAACGGCCCACCAAGGCUACGACGAGUAGCUGGUCUGAGAGGAUGGCCAGCCACAUUGGGACUGCGACACGGCCCAGACUCCUACGGGAGGCAGCAGUGGGGAAUCUUGCGCAAUGGGCGAAAGCCUGACGCAGCGACGCCGCGUGGAGGAUGAAGCUUUUCGGAGUGUAAACUCCUGUUGCUCGGGACGAAUCCCUGGAUCUUCCAGGUUGACGGUACCGAGUGAGGAAGCACCGGCUAACUCCGUGCCAGCAGCCGCGGUAAUACGGAGGGUGCGAGCGUUGUCCGGAAUCACUGGGCGUAAAGGGCGCGUAGGUGGCUUGGUAAGCGUGCGGUGAAAGCUCGGGGCUCAACCCCGAGUCUGCCGUGCGAACUGCCGAGCUUGAGCAUCGUAGAGGCAGGUGGAAUUCCGGGUGUAGCGGUGGAAUGCGUAGAGAUCCGGAAGAACACCGGUGGCGAAGGCGGCCUGCUGGGCGAUAGCUGACACUGAGGCGCGACAGCGUGGGGAGCAAACAGGAUUAGAUACCCUGGUAGUCCACGCCGUAAACGAUGGGCACUAGGU